GGAAACCGGAGCUAAUACCGGAUAAUAUAUUGAACCGCAUGGUUCAAUAGUUAAAGACUGUUUUGCUGUCACUUAUAGAUGGAUCCGCGCCGCAUUAGCUAGUUGGUAAGGUAACGGCUUACCAAGGCAACGAUGCGUAGCCGACCUGAGAGGGUGAUCGGCCACACUGGAACUGAGACACGGUCCAG
RNAcentral lists this ribosomal RNA (188 nucleotides) under uncultured Staphylococcus sp. RNAcentral's name for it is "partial 16S ribosomal RNA". It matches the Rfam family "Bacterial small subunit ribosomal RNA", at positions 152 to 334 of the family's 1533-position model. The record is from RNAcentral. Lineage: Bacteria; Bacillati; Bacillota; Bacilli; Caryophanales; Staphylococcaceae.